UUCUUCCUUCUGCCUUUUCUGGGCCUCGCCUUGGCGCACGCUCCAGCUCCGAAAGAUCCCUUCAUUUCAAGUAACAGUUACUUGUACAAGUUGUAGUUGCACAAUGCAGUAGUAGCUGGCGUAACGAAGUAUUAGUUAUGUCUAGCUAGCUCAAGUACUCUUCAGUCUUGAAGUUGAAGUCUCUUUCUCGAAGCAGUUUGCUCUUACGUACCUGUACAUGUAUGACUUACUACUGUAUUCGAAAAGUGUCAGGCUGUCCAAAUAAUAAUUAUAAUACUUAAUAGUACACCUAGUACAAGCGCUCAAUAUUUCUGUAUAAUAGCAGCUACGAAUCACAUUCCUCAAUGGAUCCUGUGGACGAGCUAACGCAGAAUUCUGCUCGCCGACCCCGGGAACGCUUCACGAAAGUGAAGUCGGUUGUAAAACCUUUCGGAUAUUCGCCCCGCGUGUUGGAUUUGACAGCCAAGUAUCGCCCAUUGUUCCUCGCCCUCUUCGUAGCCGCUGGUCUGGGAGCUGCACAGGGGUAUAAGCGGAGGGAGGCCACUGGCCGCGCCUUUCCCAAAUGGGUUGCGGCGCUUCUCGCAAGUGAGUACAUUUUCCGACAUGAAGCUGUCACCGGACCGGAAUCCUACAGAGUUACAGCCAAACGUUGGGAGAGUGCAGUGAUUGACUUUUUCGCGUCCUUUCACACUAAGUAGCGAGGUGACUUUCGGAUGAGCGCUGACGCUGGACUGUGGGUUGCUGUCACCACCUCGUCACAGCAUGUCUGUCUACCUGACGGUUUGGUGUACGUAUGCGGCAUGGAUGGAUGAAACCCAGUCACAACAAGGACAUAGAUAUGUGCGGAUGUUAGUACGCCACUCUGCCACCGGAUGUUCAUGACUUGUAUGCUUCCCUGUGGGGAUAAAGAGGAGGCACACAUAUUUGUCGGCGGUGAUGCCUUCCUUGUCCCUCUAUCAUUUUAGGGCGCAAGGCAACCGUACGUCACCCAUACUGCUGCGAAUGCUGCGAAAUGUGCUAGCCCGGAAACGGAGUAGACCGUCAUACGAUUGCUGUGAAGCUGGCUGUGUGGUCAUGAGCGAUACUCGCCGGUUUAUGUGGCCUCGUGCCGUGUAUCUUAGACAUGGUGAUGGCCUGGUACAAGUGAAACUUCCUAAGCUGGUUGUGUUUCUCAAAAAUAGCCAGUUGAACGCAGAAGUGCAAACUUUACUUCUUUAAAAAAAUUGAUUUAUGUGACUCUCGAGUCUCGAGUUCGGUCCAUGUCACCACAGCAGGGUACAGACUACGGGUUCAUGUAUAAUUGGAGUGCGGUCACAUGUGAUGCAGCUGCCCUUUUUGAUGACCGCUUUUAUAUCUGCCAUUUGAGGUGAUCACGCUAAAAUUCCUGUCACGUUGACCCUAGCACUACAAAUGGCGUAAAAUGCCCACCCGCUGGCAAUCAUGCUGAACUAUUGUUUACUUGAA
Long non-coding RNA from Sycon ciliatum, 1464 nucleotides. RefSeq lists it as uncharacterized. NCBI's taxonomy places the organism in Eukaryota, Metazoa, Porifera, Calcarea, Leucosolenida, Sycettidae. The transcript has 2 exons. The record is from RefSeq and is a predicted model, not a curated record.